AAUAAUCAAUAUCUAACUCACAGAUUGAUAGACUUGACUGCAGCUGGUCUAGCUGAAAGAAGAAGACGGCCGACACCGAUCACCUAGAACGCGUCAAAAAUGUCUGAGAACACUGGAAACGAAUGUAAAAAUUGCCAACUUCUAGAUUAGCGCGCCUGACGUCUACAUCGGGCCGAAAACUCAAUCUUGAGUGCCUUAAAAGUUUCGACACGCUGAAUUCAUUGGUAGUGUCAAAUCAUUGAUCCGAUGAUGGGAUCAUCCAAAAUUUCAUUGGAAAGCUACUGCCCCCUUAUCUCUCUCUUUAUUCACUUUCCGUCCAAAACCCCUAUUAACUUUGGUGAUAUGGAAUGGAGGAGAAGGCUCAAGUUCCCUGAGUUCCAUUGACAUUAAUCACACAGUGACUAGAGGUCUGAAAUGCCGACAAGGAGCUAGGAGUGCUUGCGGUGGCGUCACCUUCUUCUUUCCACGCUAACUGGCCUUUCACCAUGAUUCAGGCCGUUUAUGGUGAGCUAUUGCCGAUGAGGGACAACUGGAUGUUUGCCAGAGCAAGGCUUUACUUGUUGGGUCAUCAUUAGUGGAGGUGAUUGUGGCCGAAGAGAUGGACAGCGUGACUUGGUCCUUCCUUGGCGUUACUGAGUGUGGGAAAAUAAAGAAGAAGCUUCCUGAUUGGCUCUUAUAUGAUAUUAUAUAUAAAUAAUAUUUUUAUUACAUUAUUUAACUAUUUCACUAAAAGAUCCAACCUACUCUUUUG
This 751-nucleotide unclassified non-coding RNA is filed under the name Hevea brasiliensis (rubber tree). The record is from RNAcentral. Lineage: Eukaryota; Viridiplantae; Streptophyta; Magnoliopsida; Malpighiales; Euphorbiaceae.